AUUAUUAAAAAAUUCAUUCAUUUAAAAAAAAUUAAGACAAAAAAAAAAUCUUAAAAUUGAGAAGAAACAAAAAUCUUUAAAAUUGUGAAGAAACGAUCAUGGGUCAUCAUAGUGCUUUGUUUAUAAAUACAUUUAUAGGAGUGUGGAUUUUUUAUGUAGGAUUUUCACAAAGGGCACCUCAAAAGAUAAGCCUACAGAGAAAUUCAUAUUUUUAUUGUUGGUGCAAUGUGGAAAUAUAUUUAAAUAGUAUAGCUAUAAAUAGAAUAUUUUCAAGGUGUAGCCGCACGACGAUACUCCAAAAAAGAAUACUUUAAAGGUAUAACCGCAUGGCGAUACUCCAAAAAAAAAUACUUUGAAGGUCUAGCCGGGUGGCCAUACUAUUUUGUAAGAAACAUAAAAGACCCUCCUUGCAAUUAGGCGCGCACGUGUUAAAAUAAGUAUAGCCACGCGACUAUAUUAUUAUUUUAUAUAUAAAAACAGAGAAAACCGGGUAUAGCUGAGUGGCAAUACUAUUUAUAUAAAAAAAGAGGACCCGCCUUGCGAUUAGGUGCUCAUGUGUCAAAAUACAUAUAGCCGCUCGGCUAUACCAUUUAAAUUUUUU
RNAcentral lists this long non-coding RNA (601 nucleotides) under Prunus persica (peach). RNAcentral describes it as "long non-coding RNA (PPER_LNC006588)". Lineage: Eukaryota; Viridiplantae; Streptophyta; Magnoliopsida; Rosales; Rosaceae. The record is from RNAcentral.